AGCGCUUUGGGGAGUGACUUCCGGCCAUGCGGGGCCUCUACCGCUGCCAUCGCGGUCCCGGUCUCCUGAAGUGGAACCCGGCUUGGAGUCGAGCGCGACCCCUCGCCCGUGGGCGCAGGCGAUCGAGUAAGGGUGGGGCGGGCCUCAAACCCGGAUCAGAACCCGCCCUGACCGGCGCAGAGAUACGGGACGCAGCCGUGAGCACUGUUUUUUAUUUCACCAUGGACCCAUCGGCGUGGGGCGCCCGCCCCGGGUGUCCUUCCUCCCCCGGGCAGCCAGAUGCUGGAACGGGAGGCACAUGUUCCGGCCCCGGCCCCUGGGAAGGAAAGAAAGGACCUUCCCGUUUCACUUGUCUCGGCUGAACAUGUAGCGGAGGAGGUCGACCACCCGGUGACUGUAGCCAUAUUCGUUGUCGUACCUGUGGAGGAGGGGUCGGGAGGUUCAAGGGGGUUCCUUCCGACCACCCCUUAGUUCCCCUCCCUCUAAGUCUCCAGCUCCUUCCCCCUUACCAUGAAAUGAGCUUCACGAAAUUGUCAUUGAGCGCAAUGCCGGCCUUAGCAUCGAAGAUGGACGAGUGGGUAUCACCGAGGAAGUCCGUAGAGACGACCUGGAAGUCAGAAUUUCAAAGAUAAGUGUGUCCGGCAGAGCAAGGACCUCCAGGAGCUGAGGCCCCGACUCUUAACUCUAUCGCCCAUCCAUGCAUUCAUCUAUAAUAUUUGAUGUAGCCCUACUGUGUCCAGUCUCUGGACUGGAGGGUAUGACCAAGUGCAGGGUAUGACCAAGGCACUGUGUCAGGGUCUGGCCAAAGGGCACAGGUCACAAACACCCUCAUGCUGUACCAGUACAUCCCUUUCCUAGGAAUAAUGCAAGCGUUUGGAAUGGGCCAGCAUGGAGGGCCUCUCUGAGGGGUGGCCAUGAGCCUGGGUCUAGAUGACUAGAAAGAUCUGACCGGCUGGGGCCCUCAGCACAGUGUCUGAGGUAGAAGGAGCUGCAGGAAGGGAGGACCUGAGGGUUUUAGCCCUAGUGUCAUGAAAGGCCACAGGAGUGUUUUCAAUCCUGAAAACGGGUGAUGCAAUGUGAUUCCAUUAAAACAAAAGAUCCCAGUGACUGUGGGAAAGUGGACCUGCAGGAGUUAAUGCAGGGAGACAGCACCAAGGUGGAUGUACAGGGGUCCACCAUGACCAUGGCAUCCACUCCUCACAGAGAAGGCAUCUGGCCAUGGCCUGGCCCUGAGCAAGUAUUGAAAAAAAUGGGAGCUGUUGUCUUUUGUUCACUAAGCAUGUAUUAGUCACCUGCUGUAUGCCAGGUUGGAGCCACAAAAGUGAAAAGGCAGCCCCUAAAUCCCUGUUUUCUUGGAGUGCACACACCACUGGGGCCAACAGUGACUAUGAAAUGAAAUUUCAGGUGAGGAAUAUGGCCACAAAAAGAACAUAUUUUGAGGGGGUGCCUUGCUGAAGAGGGAGGUUCCUCCAGAGACUUGGAGGAAGUAAGGACAGACUGUAUGGUCACCUGGCAAGGGAAGCAUUCCAGACUAAAGGAACAGCAAGUGCAAAGGCCCUGAGGCAGGGAGAUCUCCCUUCCUGCCCUGCAGUUUCUGACUUGGCACAUUGAGAGCAGCUCCCUGGCAAGUGGAAAUCAUGUCCCUUCCCAGAGGGCUCCUCCCAGGGUCUCCUCUCCUCAGCCCCUACCUCAUCCUCGGUGUAGGCAAGGAUGCCAGCCAUGGGCCCCUUGGCUGCUGCUUUUACAGCCUCCUUGAUGGCUGAGUAGGGGGCAGGCUGGGCGAGGCGGCAGGUCAGGUCCACGACAGACACAUCCGGGGUUGGUACCCGGAACGCCAUCCCUGUCAGCUUCCUGGAGAAUCCCCCAUGAGGAACAGGAGUCAGAACUUAGGGACGUUGCCCUCCAUUCCCCCUUUCCCUGUGGCUGGGCCAGGCCCCUGCUUUCCUCUUAAGGACUGAGGGCCGGGCCAGUCCAGUCCUCCUGGCGUAUGCCCCCACCCUGGUUGCAGCUUCUUGUCCUCAUACCCUUUGAGCUCUGGGAUGACUUUGGUCACAGCUUUCGCAGCCCCAGUGGAGGCUGGGAUGAUGUUCUGGUGGGCACCCCGCCCAUCUCGCCAGGCCUUCCUUGAUGGCCCGUCCACUGUCUUCUGGGUGGCCGUGUAGGAAUGGACUGUGGUCUUGGGGAAGAGAAGGACCAAGAUGAGGCCUUCAUGCUCCUAAGCUCCCAUGCCUCUUUUUUCCAGGACUAAGUUGGUGGCCUAGGUGUGGAGGCUGGUGGGGCCACCACCACAGACCACAGGAGGGGAUGUGUGCAGGCCAGGGUCCAGCCUUGCCUGAGGGUUGCACAGUGUUUUAAGUGACUUCUGCACUGGUGGGCCUCUCCUCCCGAAACCAGUCUCUCCCUCUUAACUCCAUACAGUAAGCAAGGCCCGGGAAGAAGUUGGGUUUCCCUGCCAUCCUUCCUGCCCCAGCCCCUCAUCCUCAACUCACCAUCAACCCUUCCACGAUCCCAAAUCGCUCGUGGAUGACUUUGGCGAGGGGAGCCAAACAGUUGGUGGUGCAGGACGCGUUGCUGAAACAGCCAAGGUGUGCACGGACACUGUGAGGUGAGUCGCAGAGCCACCCCUCCACCCUUACCCCUCUUGGGGUAUGCACGCAGACUUGGUUUUAUGAAACGUCAGGAUGAGGGUGAGAGGGAUCUGUGGGGACACUGUCAGACUGAAGGAGGCACUGAGGUGCAGCUGGGGAGGCUCCCCAAGCUUGUCCUCUGGAAGUCAUGCGUUUUUAGCAGAUAGUUUCGGGAAGGAGAAGCAGAAGCCAAGCGACCAGGAAUCCAGUGGGGCUGAGGGUGGGGAGGACGAGUCUACCCUCCCUUCCACACAUUGCAGGAUGUCACUGCCCACAUUACCUCACAAUGUUCAUGGAGCCAGGGUUAUAGUCAUUUUCAUUGACACCCAUGACGAACAUUGGUGCAUCCGGUGAGGGCGCGGAGAUGACCACACGUUGAGCACCUGCAGAGAUGUGGUCCUGGGGAGGAAGCGCAGGUGUCAGGGGCUUCUGGCACCAUCAUCCCCCCAGCUAGCCCUGGGCACCUCUCCCCAGCUUACCGAAGCUGCCUGUAUGGAGAGGUACACGCCUGUGGACUCCACCACGUAGGGGCUCCCGACAGCCCUCCAGGGGAUCUGUUUGGGCUCUUUGCUGUGGGGAAGUGGCAGGGCUGAGUCAGUCUCCCCUGCUUGAGCCCCACCUUCAUAGUCCAUGGCUUUCACCAUUUGACAGGCUGAGCAGGUACCGGCCCACCUGCAACCACCUGCGUCCCCUACCCCACACACCUACUUGUUCCAGAUGGGCUCCACCCCGCUGGCCUAGCUUUUCACCACUGCCCCACUUCAGACCACUUUCCCUUUGCUGAUUGCACCACCCCUGUUAUGCCUGGGUACAGGUGGUGACCUCCCCAACUCAGCCCUCAACCUCCUCAGAGGCGCCAAUGCUGACUGCUGUCAGCCAGCCCAGACCCUUUCUCCAUAUGCUGCCCGGGACGUGGACUCUGUGACUGUGAGGCCUGCCCGGCUGCUUUCUGCUUCCCAGCUCUGACAACCUCGCCAUGAACCCUCCUAGACCCUCAGCUCCUGCAAUAGGAAGCUGGCUGCCAAAGGCCAGGAGGGUCCCUGAAAACAGACACUGCAUUAAAGAAAAAGCUCCUGGAGGACUCCUGAAGCCUGAGGCAGCCUUGGGGCAGCAGUGGCUCAUGGUUUACAUUGGAAAGGUUUAUCAUGAGUAACCGGGUGCUUUGCUUCUGUGAUUCUUGGCCAGUGUCGGUCUGUUUCCUUUGCCAUUGAGCCUGCUCCCCUCAAUGGGGGGUUCAAUCAAUGUUUGUGGGGUUUGUUUGUUUUGAGACAGGGUCUUCCUCUGUCGCCCAGGCUGGAGUGCAGUGGUGCAAUCAGAGCUCACUGCAGCCUUGAUCUUCCUGGCUCCGGCCAUCCUCCUGCCUUGGCCUCCCGAGUAGCUGGGACUACAGGCGCACACCACCAUGCCAAGCUAAUUUUUAAAUUUUUUUGUAGAGAUGGGGUCUCACUUUUGUUGCCCAGGGUGCUUUAGAACCCCUGGGCUCAAGUGAUCCUUGACCUCCCACAGUGCUGGGAUUACAGGUGUGAGCCACCGUGCCUGGCCUCAUGGGUUUUCUUUGUUUUGUUUUGUUUUGUUUUUGAGACAGAGUCUCACUCUGUCACUCAGGCUGGAGUGCAGUGGCACGAUUUUGGCUCACUGCAACCUCCACCUUCCGGGUUCAAGCGAUUCUCCUGCCUCCGCCUCCCGAGUAGUUGGGGUUACAGGCAUGCGCUACCACACCUGGCUAGUUUUUUAUUGUUGUUGUUUUUUGUAUUUUUAGUGGUGACGGGGUUUGCUCUGUUGGCCAGGCUGGUCUCAAACUCCUGACC
Molecule: long non-coding RNA, 4435 nt
Organism: Homo sapiens (human)
Lineage: Eukaryota; Metazoa; Chordata; Mammalia; Primates; Hominidae
Gene: TMEM147-AS1
Product: TMEM147 antisense RNA 1
Source: Ensembl